ACUGAAGAAUAAUGAUUCACAAUAACAAGAUUAUGAUAUUCUUCAAUUUAACCAAACACUCAGAGAAGACAAAAUGAUCAUCUUAUACCUAAGCAUCACUUUUAACACACUUCUGGUUUCAGGUUCCUCCUUUAGUGACCAAGUCCACCAGACUCCAGCUGACAUUUACAAAGAAACUGGAGAAACAGCCAAAAUCAGCUGUUCACACAGUGUUGACAGCUACAACCAAAUCCUCUGGUACAAGCAAUCAAAGGAAAGACAGCUACAGUUCCUGGGAUACAUGUUUGUAACCAGUGGAAAACCAGAAACAGGAGUGAAUGUGAAGAUAGAAGGAAAUGCAAACAAAGGCCAGACCUGCACAUUAACAACUGAAGAACUCAGUCUGAACAGCAGUGCAGUUUACUUCUGUGCUGCUAGUAGGAACAAAGUUAACUGUUUUAGAAGAUGGCCAUAAAAUUACCGCACCAACAGUAAAAGUGCUUAAACCUUCGAAAAACGAGUGUCGAAACAAAAAAGACAAAGAAAGGAGGAAGACCAUUGUUUGUGUGGCCAGUGGAUUCUACCCAGACCAUGUCAGUGUGUCCUGGAAGCGUAACGGGGAGGAUGUCACCAAAGGUGUGGCGACAGACAACGCUGCCCUGCGGGAUGGAAUGUUUUACAAAAUCACCAGCAGGCUGAGGGUCCUUGCUGAAGAUGGUUUAUACCCAACAACCAAUUCAGUUGCACUGUCAGCUUCUACAAUGGCAGUGAUAAUAUCAAUUAUACAGCGUCAAUUAAUGGUGAAGAAGCUAAAAAUACAGGAACCACCAUAACAAGAGAGCAAUAUUUGAAGGUCACACAGACUGGCAAACUCUCCUAUGUCGUUUUCAUCAUCAAGAGCUGCAUCUAUGGAGUCUUUGUUGGGUUUUUGGUGUGGAAGCUUCAGGGUUCAGCUGGAAAGCAGAACAUCUGAGAGAUGACCUGAACAAAUAGAUUCCUGGAGAUCAAUAGUGUCGGUUUCUGUAAAUACAAGGUUGAAAACAUGAAAUUAUAUUUUCAUGACUUUAGAUGUUGCACUGCAUUCGUGUUUGUUAGUCAAUCAGAUUCUGCUAAAAUAGUUCUGUACAUAUUUUUGUUACAGUCUUAAAGCUAAUUUGGCAUCAUACUUGUAUAAAUGGUUAAUUCUGUGUUUGUGGUUGUGAAUCGCUUAUUUGCUUAAUUUUCUUCUCAAUAAAAGUGUUUCAGAGAA
This is a non-coding RNA of Micropterus salmoides (largemouth bass), 1228 nucleotides long. NCBI's taxonomy places the organism in Eukaryota, Metazoa, Chordata, Actinopteri, Centrarchiformes, Centrarchidae. The record is from the annotation of a RefSeq genome assembly.